UCUUAUAAAGAGCGGUGGAGGGAAGUGCCCUAUGAAGCCCGGCAACCAUCACAUUAUGUGAAAAGGUGCCAAGUCACGCGAAGUGGAUACUUUGAAAGAUAAGA
Molecule: non-coding RNA, 104 nt
Filed under: uncultured Ureibacillus sp.
Lineage: Bacteria; Bacillati; Bacillota; Bacilli; Caryophanales; Caryophanaceae
Description: SAM riboswitch (S box leader)
Rfam family: SAM riboswitch aptamer (S box leader)
About the family: The SAM riboswitch is found upstream of a number of genes which code for proteins involved in methionine or cysteine biosynthesis in Gram-positive bacteria. The SAM riboswitch acts at the level of transcription termination control. The predicted structure consists of a complex stem-loop region followed by a single stem loop terminator region.
Source: RNAcentral